CUAUGCGCCUUGCCAGCCCGCUCAGUCAGAGUUUGAUCCUGGCUCAGGACGAACGCUGGCGGCGUGCUUAACACAUGCAAGUCGAACGGAAAGGCCCUUCGGGGUACUCGAGUGGCGAACGGGUGAGUAACACGUGGGUGAUCUGCCCUGCACUUUGGGAUAAGCCUGGGAAACUGGGUCUAAUACCGAAUAUACCCUUCUGGUCGCAUGGCCUGGUGGGGGAAAGCUUUUGCGGUGUGGGAUGGGCCCGCGGCCUAUCAGCUUGUUGGUGGGGUGAUGCCUACCAAGGCGACGACGGGUAGCCGGCCUGAGAGGGUGACCGGCCACACUGGGACUGAGAUACGGCCCAG
Molecule: ribosomal RNA, 350 nt
Filed under: uncultured bacterium
Lineage: Bacteria
Description: bacterial SSU rRNA
Rfam family: Bacterial small subunit ribosomal RNA
Source: RNAcentral